This 892-nucleotide ribosomal RNA is filed under the name Streptomyces sp. C3R21_pA. RNAcentral describes it as "bacterial SSU rRNA". It matches the Rfam family "Bacterial small subunit ribosomal RNA", at positions 8 to 916 of the family's 1533-position model. The record is from RNAcentral. Lineage: Bacteria; Bacillati; Actinomycetota; Actinomycetes; Kitasatosporales; Streptomycetaceae.
AGAGUUUGAUCCUGGCUCAGGAUGAACGCUGGCGGCGUGCUUAACACAUGCAAGUCGAACGAUGAACCACUUCGGUGGGGAUUAGUGGCGAACGGGUGAGUAACACGUGGGCAAUCUGCCCUGCACUCUGGGACAAGCCCUGGAAACGGGGUCUAAUACCGGAUAAUACUGCGGCCCUCAUGGUCUGGGGUUAAAAGCUCCGGCGGUGCAGGAUGAGCCCGCGGCCUAUCAGCUUGUUGGUGAGGUAAUGGCUCACCAAGGCGACGACGGGUAGCCGGCCUGAGAGGGCGACCGGCCACACUGGGACUGAGACACGGCCCAGACUCCUACGGGAGGCAGCAGUGGGGAAUAUUGCACAAUGGGCGAAAGCCUGAUGCAGCGACGCCGCGUGAGGGAUGACGGCCUUCGGGUUGUAAACCUCUUUCAGCAGGGAAGAAGCGCAAGUGACGGUACCUGCAGAAGAAGCGCCGGCUAACUACGUGCCAGCAGCCGCGGUAAUACGUAGGGCGCAAGCGUUGUCCGGAAUUAUUGGGCGUAAAGAGCUCGUAGGCGGCUUGUCACGUCGGGUGUGAAAGCCCGGGGCUUAACCCCGGGUCUGCAUUCGAUACGGGCUAGCUAGAGUGUGGUAGGGGAGAUCGGAAUUCCUGGUGUAGCGGUGAAAUGCGCAGAUAUCAGGAGGAACACCGGUGGCGAAGGCGGAUCUCUGGGCCAUUACUGACGCUGAGGAGCGAAAGCGUGGGGAGCGAACAGGAUUAGAUACCCUGGUAGUCCACGCCGUAAACGGUGGGAACUAGGUGUUGGCGACAUUCCACGUCGUCGGUGCCGCAGCUAACGCAUUAAGUUCCCCGCCUGGGGAGUACGGCCGCAAGGUAAAACUCAAAGGAAUUGACGG